Molecule: microRNA precursor, 127 nt
Filed under: Myotis davidii
Lineage: Eukaryota; Metazoa; Chordata; Mammalia; Chiroptera; Vespertilionidae
Description: mir-9193 microRNA precursor family
Rfam family: mir-9193 microRNA precursor family
Source: Rfam by way of RNAcentral
UGUGCAUCGGUGGGGUCCCUCGGCCUGGCCUGCGCCCUCUCGCAAUCCGGGACCCCUCAGGGGAUGUUGGACUGCCAGUUUUGGCCUGAUUCCUGCAGGCCAGGCCAAGGGACCCCACCGGUGCACA